Rosa rugosa (rugosa rose) is the source of this 1521-nucleotide long non-coding RNA. RefSeq lists it as uncharacterized. The transcript is spliced from 3 exons. Lineage: Eukaryota; Viridiplantae; Streptophyta; Magnoliopsida; Rosales; Rosaceae. The record is from RefSeq and is a predicted model, not a curated record.
CAAAUUAACGUCCGAUGUCAUUUUGGAAAUGAUUUCGUAGGCGUGGGCACGAAUACGAAGCUUGAAGGAGUUGUGGAAUUAGUUCGAACGAUUUUAUUUCGAAAACGAACGUUAUUUAGGGGGUCUUAAAAAGUGACUUCUUAUACGUACAGAAUUUGGGAAAACUUUCUUCAUGAAAGUUGUAGAGCUCGUCGAUACGAUCUCGUGCGUAUGUUGAACGCAAUAUUCGGAGUUUGUAUGAAUAAGUUAUGAAUAUUUGAAAAUCGGGAUUUUUUUUCUAUAAAUAUGGAGAAUUUCUGGAAUUUUUCUUAAAUCCCAAAAUUUCCUAUUCUUUCUAUUUUCUCCCCCGGUUUUCUCUCUUCUCUCUCCUCUCCCCCGACCUUUUUCUCUUCUUUCUGGGCGUUCUUCCUCUGCCAGCAGCGCCACCGUCCGGCCACCUCAAGCCGCUCUCGAGGUGUCCACGGCUUCGCCUCGACGUCGUCUAGCUACUGGACGUGACCACUUUCCCCGGAACGGCCUCAAAUCCGGCAAACCGGAGCUGCAAGGUUUGAGCCAAAAACAGUCAACGCCGGUUUUCUCCUAAUUCCGGCCACCAAAACUCACGAUCCUUAGCUCCCUGAACUCACCUCAACAUGCUGAUCAUCAUCCUAGAAGGAUCGCACCUGGAGUGACCGGAUUCACGUUCGUCGGAGCUCGGCCGGCUUUAAUUCGAAAACCACCUUCGAAUCCGAUUUUCUCGAGUUAUAGACCACCUUUUCUUGUGAUUCUUGGCCUGGUGAGUUCACCUUGAGAUUAUUAACAACUCUCAAGAAGGGAUCGAGGCCUGAGGUUGAAGUUUUUACGUCGGAAUUCAAGCUCGCCGGAUUCUGGAAAAUUUCCGACCACGAAGACUUUCGAUCAAGAUAUCGCGAGCUGUAGUGCAUCGUUUUGAUUGAUUCUUUUUCCAGUGGGUUCCCCUUGAUGUUGUUAACAACUCUCUAGAAGGCAUCGAGGCCUGAAAUUGAAUCUUUGACGUCGAAAUCGAGCCUUGCCGGAUUCUGCAAAAUUCUGGAAUUUUUCCGACCACCGAAGCUUUCGAUCGGUAUAUCUCGAGCUACAGACCAUAUUUUUCUGUGAUUCUUGAACCAGUGAGUUCUUCUUGAGUUUCUUAACAACUCUUCAGAAGGAAUCGAAGCCUUAAAUUGACGUUUUUACGUCGAAUUGGAGCUCGCCGUUUUCUGCAGUUUCUCGCCGGUUUCUGGAAAAUUCCGGCCACCUUCAUACUGUUCAAGGUGAUUGACGGUUUGAGUUGGCGGACGAUUGUGAAUCGUAUUUUGAGCUGUUAAGAAGACGCAGCGGGAUUAGAGCGGGUAAUCCUACAGGUCAGGAGAACCAGGACGGUGAUCGGGCUGCUUAGAGUAGUGUUAUGUGAAUUACAGCAUUAUAUUGUGAGGUUUGUUAUGCUCAUUUAGAGCUUUACGAUUUUACUUUGUAAGAGUGAAUUGUAAUAAUUAACUCGAGGUUUUUCGAGUUUUGUGUUGA